CUCAGCAUAUGAGCGAACUCCUUCAAGACUGUUGGAAAGGCAUUCCAGGAACGGGAUUUUCUGCAUUUGGUUCAUGAGCAGAAAGCCUACUCUUCCCAGGAUGGUCUCUGCUCUCUCUGAUGAAACCUUCCCAUUGGAGCACUUGGAAUGGGCACAAUCCACCUCACUCUUCAAUCCCUCCCUCGGGCUCACCUCCUCAGUGACGCUCCUCUCUUCACUCUCAAUUUCAAUGCCUAUCCAAUAAUCCUAACAGGAAGACAUUGACUUAAGAUGUAAUAUUGUUCCAAUGUGGCAAAUUCAAUACACAAUUGAGUGAUCAACAUACAAUGAUGGCCAAUUAACCCUAGUGAGGGGUGAUGUUUUAUACUGUGAGCAAAGAGCAGCAGGGUUGGGGUCAAUUCCAUUUCAAUUCCGAUCAAAAGACUCUAAGAUUCCAAUUCUCUUCAACGCUUUGAGUUGAAAUAGAACUGACCACCAUCCCUGUGAAGUUUUAGUGUGAAAUAGGACACCUACCUUUACCUCUUCCAGGGUCCAGGGCCUGGGUUCCUCAUCCUCUGACCUGCAUAUGGUGGCUCCAACUCUAACAGGCAUCUUAGUGACCAUGCAGAUCAGAGGGGUGGGCAGCUCAUCAUUGCGGGUUGCCAGAGUUAAGUUAGCAUCUGAGACCAGUUCUUCAGCGUGAGGGCAGAUAUCCACCUCCUCAGUAGUGCCCCUCCCUUUCUGAUCUGGCUGCUUGUGGUCCUUGUCAUGGAUGCAUGCCAGGCUUGGAGGAAGUGCAUGGACAGGGCUUUUAUCACCCAUCAUUUCCUCUCUCUUGACAGUGGAUGCAACUGCACUUUCCUCUAUGUCAACUGAGCACUCUGUGGUGUUCUCAACGAUCUCCUCUGGCUGUUUGUGGUCAAUAUUGUGGGUGCAGGGCUUCCUUAGAGACAGUGCUGUGGGUGCAGGAGGACUUUUAUCAGUCAAAAACUCCUCUUGGAGGACAGUGGACACGGAAGCGGCUGCUUCACUGGCAACUGGACACUUGGAGGUGCCCUCUACUGCCUCCUCUGGCAGUUUGUAGUCAUUGUCAAAGGCAAGUUGCAGGCUUGAAGGCAGCACUGAGGGAAGACCUGUAGCUGCUGAUGGAUCCUCUCUAUUAGCAACUGAUGCCUCUGCGGCGACUAAGCACUCAGUGGUGCCCUCUGUCGUCUCCUCUGGCUGCUUAUGGUCAUUGUCCAAAACGUGUGACAAGCUUGGAGGCAGCCUUGGUGCAGGGCUUUUAUCCAGGUCCUCUCCCUGGGCAAAGGAUGUGCCUACAGUGAUCUCUGUGGCAACGUAGGACUCGGGUACAUCCUCUUUUUCCUCCUUGGUCAGUUUGUGGUCAGAGUCACAGAUACAUGGUGAGCUUGGAGGCAGUGCUGCAGGGUCAGGAGGGCUUUGAUCAGCUGCCAUGUCCUCUUUGAGGUGAGUGGACACAUCAUUGGUUGUUUCACUGGCAACUGGACACCUGUUGGUUCCCUCUACUGCCGCCCCUGGCAGUUUGUAUUCAAUGUCAAAGACACGUGGCAGACUUGGAGGCAGCAUUGGGACAGGGCAUUUAGCUGCUGAUCUGUCCACUCCAUCAACAGUAGCUGUGCCUGAAGUGGCCUCUGUAGCAAAUGAGACCACAUAGGCAUCCUCUACUGUGUGCUCUGGAGGCAUGAAGUCAUCGUCAAAGACUGGUGGCAGGCAUGAAGGCAGCACUGAAGGAAGAAUUCUAGCUGCGCAUCGGUUCUCUCUCUUGACAGUGGCUGUACCUGCAGUGGCAACUGUGGCAACUCGGCACUCCAUGGCUGAAACAUCAAACUGGGAUGUUUCCGGGACAUUGAAUGAAUUGCCAAUGAACCGCUGAGCCAGUGGUGGGAGGGAGAAAGGAUAGAAUCUGUCCUCUUCCUUGAUAUUAGAUAUUGCCACUGGAGCAACUGAGACCUCAGUGGUUCCCUCUACUGUCUGCUGUGGUGGAAUGGAGUCAUCGUUAAAGAAGUGUGGCAGGUAUCGAUGCAGCAUUGAGGAUAGAUGUGUAUCUGUCGAUAAGUCCUCUCUUUUACCAGCAGAUACAUCUGCAGUGGCCUCUGUGGAAACUGGGCACUCAGCAGGGACAAAGUAGGAGAAUACAAUGAACCGCUGUGCAUCCUGAGUGCGUAUGGCCAAUGGAGAGGGGGGAUGCAAAAUGGUUGGUAUAGGCCUCCGAUUGGUGAAAGCCAGUGGUGGGAGGGAGUCAAUACAGGGAGCCAUGAACUCAGUGAGUGGACGGUUGAUCACAUCUCUCACAUUCUGCAGGAGAAAAGAAACAGACAUGAUGAAAGUGAUCACAUUCAGUACAUAUAUUCUUUAUGAGUGAACACUAUGUACUUAUACAUCACAGAUACAAUGCCUUCGGAAAGUAUUCAGACCCUUUCACUUUUUCCACAUUUUGUUACCUCACAGCCUUAUUCUAAAAUGGAUUAAAUCUUUUUUUUCGCUCAUCAAUCUUCACACAAUACCCCAUAUUGACAAAGCAACAACAGAAUCGUUCCAAAUUCAUUUCAAAUAUAAAUAAUGGGUAUUUACAUAAGUAUUCAGUACUUUGUUGAAGCACCUUUGGCAGCGAUUACAGCAUAGAAUCUUCUUGGGUUUUACUCUACAAGCUUGGCAUGCUUGUGUUUGGGGAGUUUCUCCCAUUCUUCUCUGCAGAUCCUCUCAAGCUCUGUUAGGUUGGAUGGAGAGAGUUGUUGCACAGCUAUUUUCAGGUCUCUCCAGAGAUGUUCGAUCUGGUUCAAGUCCGGGCUCUGGCAAGGCCAUUCAAGGACAUUCAGAGACUUGUCCCAAAGUCACUCCUACGGUGUCUUGUCUUUGUGCUUAGGGUCGUUGUUCUGUUGUAAGGUGACCCAUCGCCCCCAGUCUGAGGUCCUGGGCGCUCUGGAGCAGAUUUUCAUCAAGGAUCUCGCUGUGCUCCGUUCAUCUUUGCCUCGAUCCUGACUAGUCUCCUAGUCCACACCGCUGAAAAACAUCCCCACAGCAUGACGCUGACACCACCGUGCUUCACUGUGCCGUAGCUGCCAGAUUUCCUCCAGACUUGACGCUUUGCAAUCAGGCCAAAGAGUUCAAUCUUGGUUUCAUCAGACCAGAGCAUCUUGUUUCUCAUGGUCUGAGAGUCUUUCGGUGCCUGUUGGCAAACUCCAAGCGGGCUGUCAUGUGCCUUUUACUGAUGAGUGGCUUCCAUCUGGUCACCCUACCCUAAAGGCCUGAUUGGUGAAGUGCUGCAGAGAUGGUUGUCCUUCUGGAAGGUUCUCCUAUCUCCACAGAGGAACUCUUGAGCGCUGUCAGAGUCACCAUCAAGUUCUUGGUCACCUCCCUGACCAAGACCCUUCUUCUCUGAAUGCUCAGCUUGGCCCAGGCUGCCAGCUCUAGGAAGAGUCUUGGUGGUUCCAAAUUUCUUCCAUUUAAGUAUGAUGGAGACCACUGUGUUCUUGGGGACCUUCAAUGGUGCAGAGAUUUUUUUGGUACCCUUCCCUAGAUCUGUUUCUCGACACAAUCUUGUCUCGGGAACUCUACGGACAAUUCCUUCGACCUCAUGGUUUGGUAUUUGCUCUGACAUGCACUGUCAACUGUGGGACCUUACAUAGACAGGUGUGUGCCUUUCCACAUGUCCAAUCAAGUUGUAGAAACAUCUCAAGGACGAUUGUGGGAGAAAAUCAUAUACAUGAUUAUAGUAAUACAAGAAAAAAUACAUGUAUGGGUUAAUUUCCUGUUCUGGUAAAAUGCAUUGUCUAUUGUAUAGGACAGAAAGCCGAGAAAGACCAUGGGAG
This is a long non-coding RNA of Oncorhynchus kisutch (coho salmon), 3809 nucleotides long. RefSeq lists it as uncharacterized. Lineage: Eukaryota; Metazoa; Chordata; Actinopteri; Salmoniformes; Salmonidae. The transcript has 2 exons. The record is from RefSeq and is a predicted model, not a curated record.